RNAcentral lists this long non-coding RNA (1343 nucleotides) under Homo sapiens (human). RNAcentral's name for it is "HSALNT0225936". The record is from RNAcentral. Lineage: Eukaryota; Metazoa; Chordata; Mammalia; Primates; Hominidae.
UCAAGAAGCAACUGGAAAAUUCCCACCAAAAUGAGGAGAUUUUCUUUUUAAAGUCCUGCCACUUCUGCUUUCUUUCAUAUAUAAGGGGAAAAUUCUAGUUAUGAAAGAGAAGCUGAAGGAUGGCUGGAGAUUAUCACAGAUUUUAAUGGUGAUUUUUUAAAAAAGGUUACUAUCUUAAUUUUAUUCUGCACCAAAUAAGGACAUAUUUUCUACUGUUGUCUGCCUGUCAUAACCUUUUUUUUCUCUAAUUGUUUGGAUGGUGUGAGAUCCUCUAUAGUCUCAUAGAACCUAAGCCAGAAGCAGGAACCUUCUGCAUAACCACGAAUCCUCAGGUGAUUCCUUUUGAGAAUUCUGGGGGAUGGACAGAGGAAACGAAAGCAAAUUUCCACAACCAAAGAGGGUAAAUAUUAUAGGCAUCUGGAGCACCUUUGGAAGCUGGUGAAGGAGAUAUACCAGAGUGUGGGUGGUUUCUAGCACCUUCAUAUCAGUCCAUGUCGGCUGCUGCUAGAAGCUGGCACUGUGUUCAAAUUAUAAAUCACCCAAUAAACCACGACAAAGGAAAACAUUGGCAAGCCACCUCCAGCUGGGUGAUGAAGGCUUUAUGAAGAGAAGAUUCUUACCUGUGCUUAAGGAAUAUGGGAGCGUCUUUCAGAAAACUGGAGGGAACGCCAUCCCUGGACACAACUGGAUUUGUCUGCCAUGUGUUGGCAUGCCUGGGGGCCUUUCACCUCGGGGUUCCAUGAUUUGGGACAGAUUUCAUGGUGGGCUCUGUUGAAUAGGAAAUAUACUGUUGGAAAUAAGACAGGACAGAAGCCUUCCAGCUCCAUCAUUCUGAGCUUUUCCUAGGUUCACACUGGGUUUUUUGAGCUCCCAAAUGCUGUAUCACAGUGAACUCAUAUGGAAAGGCAAACCUUCUUAUCCUGAACUGUAUGGGUCAAAUACUUCCUUCAAGGCAGACUCAAAUGCUGGGAGGAUCCCUCCCUCCUCUCUUCCUCUCCAAUUUCGGCCUCCUGACGUCAGUGAAGCUUUUACUGGCCUAGACACUUUGGCCUUGGGCCCAGAAAGCAUCAUUGUGGACAGCCCAGACCUGAGGCUGAUGGCCCAGAUAAUUGGACAAUCUGGGCCCAGAUACCAGUUUCCAAAACCAAAGAGAUUUCUGUGUUGCGUGACCUAUCAUUUAAGCCAGACAGAAAAGCUUUGACAUUUCUUCUCCAUUCCCUCUUUUUAAACAAUGUAAAAUGCUGUUCCACAUCUAAUUGUACUGGAGAAAUGUGACAACUAUAAUUUUAGGCCUCAAAUGCCCACAAACAGUUUUGUAAAUCUUACAGACUCUAUUCAUCAAU